AGAAAUCAAACCAUGUUUUAGUAGAUUAGUAGUGCAUGUCAAAAUCACCUUUGCACAUUAACAUAUAUAGCCAAUAAUCUAGGGGAAUCUCAUAGGUUGGCUCUAAACAGAUGAAAACAAGAGAUAAGGGAUGAAACAUAUUUAGGUAUAAAAAAAAAAAUCCUCGUCAAAAAUUAGAAGUUAACAAUAUUUAUAUGCAAUCAGUCGUAUCAUAUCAUAUCGUAUCAUAUCAUCAGGCGUCAUGUUAUGAUUUAACCAGCACUCAUAAGAGAAACCAUGUGCAGUUUAAAAGGUCUGUAACCGAUCGUAUACAUUAGAAUCCAUGACACUAUUAGCUUUCUAGGUGCUUUCUGGAAGAUAAGCAUUGCAUUACCUGUUGGUGCACGAUUCAAUAAGGCCUGGGACCAUUCAUAUAUAUAUAUAUAUAUAUAUAUAUAUAUAUAUAUAUAUCUUUCAAUUGAGAUUUCCCUUUAUCUUUCAUAUCUAAAGCACGAACAGCCAGUCAGAUUUCAGAAAUCCCAGUUCUUCUUUAUCAUUCUAUAGUUGGACUUGUAGAAUCGACUACGAAGUGUUGAAGGGUAGUUUAAUGUAUGCAUACAUGUAAUGAGUGAUCGGAAAUUGCAGUUUGCAUUUAUGAGAAUGUGAAGAUUCAUAGAUUGACACCCCGAUCCACCUAAGAAUCCAUCCGGGAAAGAAACCAAAUUCAGCCUCAUGGAUUCAGAAAAAUAUUGUUUUUGUCAAGUAACAACUAGAUAUUGUGACAUUCAAUCGAUUGGUCUAUUGACUCUAUUCAAUGAGUUGUUGCUUAAUUGACUAGCUUGUAGCUAAUAUUUGGAAUUUAGUGUUUACUCAAGGAUAAUGUAAGUUUAAAAACUUCCACUUCUGAAUACAUUGCAAGUGGCGUAUUAGUCUAGCAUCAGAGAAACCCUAAACUCAAGUUUGAUUUACGAAGCUGUUAGAAUGGUCAGACAAUGUGCUGUAAAUCUGAAAUACAUAGUUGAACCAUUUCAUAUGCGUUGAGAGAUUACAUCCGAAACCUAAAAAGCUUUUGAAUUACCCUAACACUAAAAAAAAUAUUUUCACUUCUGAUGGAGCCCCAAAAAGGAGCUUAAGCGAGUGAACUUUGAGCGAGUAAUGAAAUUCAAAACAAAUGGCCAUACAGAUUGAAACAAAACAAGAACCUACAUUCUCUCUAACCCCAUUUUUUGGAAAACUUUCUCUCAUAAUGUUUACAUGUCCCUUAACAUAAGCUUCACAAGUAUUGCAUUCCCUUGCCCUUAAAUAAAUACAUGUACAAUCUACAAUCUACACUUGAUAAUAUUGGGAUAAACAAACUUUUGCUGGACAAUUAGGCCAGUUAGCUCUUAUCCGUAAAAAAUAAUGCAAAAUUGGUAAAAUUGAUUCACUCCCUAUGCCUAUCAUUGCCCUACCUUCAAAGUAUGCAAAAUUACACCAAUGAUCGAUGACAACAGAUUCAAUACAUACGACAAGACGUGUACGUACACACACUAAGAAUAUUCAUUAGCUUCACCCAAAUAGUUGACUCCUGCUUUGAUACACAUUACACUCGUACUCAUUUCUUGACUCUUCCGUAUCCAUCGUCAUUUGCUGAUCCAUGAGCUGCGAUAGAGACAGUUAUAGACUCGUGGACGACUUUCAACCGUUGAUGUACGUACAUGAUGAACGAUUAGGAAUCACUCGAUGCGCUGGCCAUAGCAUUUGCUUCCCUUAUAUCUAGACCGAGUUUGCUCACUAUAACCAUCUAUAUAAGCACAUUACUCCUCACACCAUCAAACACAAAUUUUUAGGCCUGUAGUGCAUUAAGGUCAUGCAAAUGGAAACCACCGAUAAUGAGCAACGUAAAGCCGCCGCCCUGAAAAGGUUGCUGCUCAUUCUGAGCAGCGUACUCUUAUCCAUAGGCACCUGCGGCGGCCCUUUGAUAAUGCGCCUCUACUUCAUCCACGGCGGCAAACGCGUCUGGCUUUCGAGCAUGCUCGAAACCGGUGGCUGGCCUGUGAUCCUCGUCCCAAUAGCCAUAGCCUACUACCACCGCCGCAAAAACCAAGCUCCAACCGACCCACCAACCAAGCUCUUCUUCAUGAAGCUUCCUCUCUUCGUUGCCUCUGCUGUCAUCGGCGUUCUCACCGGCCUCGACGACUACCUCUACGCCUACGGCGUUGCACGCCUCCCCGUCUCCACCUCAGCCCUGAUCAUCGCUGCGCAGUUAGCUUUCACGGCCUUGUUUGCCUUCAUACUCGUGAAGCAGAAGUUCACGUCGUAUUCGAUAAACGCCGUCGUGCUGCUGACGGUGGGGGCGGCGGUUCUUGGCCUGAACACGAGCUCGGACCGGCCCAAGGGGGAGUCGAACGCGCAGUACAUGCUAGGGUUUGUGAUGACGGUGGCCGCGGCGGCGUUGUAUGGGUUUGUGCUGCCGUUGGUGGAGUUGAUGUAUAAGAAGGCCAAGCAGAACAUCACGUACGCUUUGGUUUUGGAGAUUCAGAUGGUUAUGAGUUUGUUUGCUACCAUCUUCUGUACGGUUGGGAUGCUGGUGAACAAUGACUUCAAGGUUAGUACAACGAUUUCUCUGAUUAAUUCUAGCCAAUUGCAGCAGCACUGGAAUAGUCUAAAUCGAUUAGUACAAUUUAUCAUUUAACCACAGACCAAGAAUUGUCCAGUUUUUCAAUUAUUGCAGUGGAAUGCGACGGCAUUUAUUGAAUGAUGAGGAAAUUAUUUGUGCAUAUCGUUUUAGAUUCUUUUUAUUAUUAUUAUAGAUUGUAAAAAGACUUUCCGCCUUUUAAGAUCAAUGAUGAACUAUAUGAUAAUAUAGUAUGAACACACUUUUAUUUUAGAAGGAAUAGUGUAUGAAAAUACUGGAAUGAAAAAAGUGGCAUGAUGAAUCCACUAUUGAACACCUUUAUGCCAGUGACGAUGAACUUGGAUGGAGAAACUAAUUUUGGAAAAGUUUAUGAAACUUAUAAUGCAUGUAAAAAGUAGCAAUGUAUACUUUAAUUUACUCGUAUUCGGUUGUUUUUGUUUCUGAAUGCUCCAUUGUGUUCUUGUUGAUCUCGUUUUCUAUAUUUAAGUUCUGGAAAGAAAUAUUAUGUCACUAAUAGCUGCUUGAAAUUUUGGAAGAUACGAAGUUUUUGGAACAUAUAUGUAGUCUAAACAUAGAUUUAUAUAUUGUGUAGGUGAUUCCUAGAGAAGCGAGGAAAUUCGAGCUUGGGGAGACUACGUACUAUGUGGUGCUUGUAGUGAGUGCAAUAGUCUGGCAAACUUUCUUCUUGGGAGCCAUAGGACUCAUCUUCUGUGCCUCGUCUCUUCUAUCCGGAAUCGUAAUCGCUGUUCUGCUCCCGGUAACUGAGAUCUUUGCUGUUAUUUUCUACCACGAAAAGUUCCAAGCAGAAAAGGGGGUCUCUCUUGCACUCUCCCUCUGGGGGUUUGUCUCAUACUUCUACGGCGAAAUCAAACACAACAAACAAAAGAAGCAAGCAGAUGCAGUUAAGGAAAAGGAAAACAACAAAGAAGGUUGUACCCCCGACGUAGAAAACCUUCAGACAGUUCCAAAUCCAUGAGAGCACAAGCUGUAAUUUCUAUGUUUUCUUGCUCGUGGAUUUUGUGAACAAGGCUUUGCAAAAGUAGGCAUUUUCGAGGGAAAGGCUGCAUUUGGCAUUAUAUGCUUCAUGUUUCGGGCGGCAAAACCCAUUUUUUCCCAGUGGUAUUCAUAUUGGUUGGAAUAAAAGCCAUAGAUUAUUAACCAAAUAUAAGAAACGUCGUCAGCCAUAUUGGCUGCGUGCAAGUGUGCAGCAACUAUGAAGGGCUCAUGAUAUACAUAAUAAAUUUCAACACCUAAAUGCGUCCAAAAGUGAAUCUACAAUCCACUAAGAACACUACUUUCCUUGUGUGGCUAAUUACAUAAACAACUCCAAUUGCUUAAUAUAUAUCUUUGAGAUAUCUCUUUUCCCGGUUGCCCCAUUCUAUUUAGGUUUGCCAAAACCUACUCGUUCAUCCAUUCUUGUAAUACAAGUACUUCUAUAUAACAUUUGAACCUUUGAUGGUUCACAUCAAUUCGACAGUUUUGGCAAAGAACUAUAAAUAUCGACUACGGUGAAAAUUAAAUUAGAGAUAUGCUUGUUAAUGGUCAAUGAACUAUGAUUGAAAUGUCGCAAAAUGACAUGCAUAUUGAUCUUAAAAACAUCAUUGAACCCAAAAUUGCUUGAAACCUAGUUCAUCGGGUCGGUAUGUUUAUGUAAUAAUCCUGUCACUUUUGAUAAUGAAUAUAGUUUUAUUCUAUUGAUAAAGAAUGCAAAACAACAAAUUACAAAAGUGACUUUUAAAGCCACCGAAGGAGAUUUUUCUAUAGGUCAGAUCCUGCAAGUGAGGGUCCAAAGCACUACAUGAUGCACAAGAGUAGUCUACCAUUGUUAAUGUUAAUCUAUCAUUAUAAUUUAGACAGCUGCAUAAAAUAGACCAUAAAAGUAAACAAAAACUCACACUCAACCUUUUCCUUUCAAUCUGUUUUCUCUUCCCUUUUGCAUAAGAACACGAAGGAAACGAACAAAAUCAUGAGGAAAUAUCUUAAUAAAAGCCAUACUUCACACUUCCUUAGUUUAUGGACUCCAAUUAGUUGGCAUAGGUACCAAUGUACCAUAUAUGGUUACAAGGUAUAGGAAUCAUCUUUUCGAUUUCAUCUUUGCUAUCUGGUAUUGUAAAUCAAGAUUCUAAUCACAACAACCAUAACCAAAACACUAUCAAUUUCAAAACACAGCAUGACAGAGAAAAUAGAAAAUAAUGCAAAAUGUUUUAGUUUUUCGGAGGUCAAACAUUUAUAUCUAUAAGAAGUAAUUUUUCUGGAUGUACAUUUUCCUCCCGAUAAAGCCUGUAGGAGUGUAACUAACUUGCACCAGCAUACAUUCCUCCAAUAAAGAAGUCAACUACUACAUUUCAAUGUAAAUCAAGUAAUGUGGAAUGCAAAGGAAAGUGCAACUGCAAUUUAUGAGGAUUAAAAGUGAGGCUAGAAAGUCACUACUGCUCAAAACAGCUCCGACACAAAGACAUAAAGUGAGGCAACUAAUGUCCAGAGACCGAAAUCAUUUCAAGUCACACACCCCUAAUAAUAUGUCAAAGAGACUUUAUUUCAAGCAGCACUUAGGUUUGUCACUAAAACAGAGUCUAGAUUCUUUAGUAACAUAAGAACAAAGAACUACUGUUAAAAUGGCGUUACAGCUGUUUCAGAGAAAUAAUUUGACAACAAAACUAUUUCAUAUACAGAUAAUAAUGCAUCAUACAAAAUCAGAUACUAACAAUAUCUACCAGACAUCCAACAAUUUGCAACAUCAUGACAGUAAAACUGUGAAUAGAAAGAUAGUCAGAAGUUUUCAAUGGGAAUAUGGACAUUGCUAAAGGCACUCACUUUUACCAAUUUUUUAAAAUCAAGUCGCAUUUACUUUAACAAACAAGUGAAAGAAAAUACCAAGUAGCCUGAUGAUUGCUUUCAAUAUGCAACUUUUAUGCCAAAGAGAAAAACAAAUUGACAAUCAAAUGAGAUUCAGUGUGAAGAUCUGCAGAGAAUUAUACAAGACGGUCACUAUUUGUUAACUUAAUAUUAGAUAUGUUCAACAGAUCGAUCACACCGAUAUCGACAGUGAUUUAAUUUAGCGCGGAAUUAACUAAUAAUAUAAGUUGUGUUUAGGCGCGGCUCAAAUGAAAAUAGGAUAGAAUUGAUUCUAAACAAUUUCUGCAAUAGGUAGAUAGCUAGAUAGCUAGACAAAUUAGUUUAAUAUGUAAAAAGGAUCGAUUAGGUAGAUCUGAUGAGGGAUCAUGCAUUCAUUUUUACAUAAAGGAUCGGAUUAAUCUCCUUGUAAUAUCCAUUUUUCAACUCUCUCAUGAUCACACUAAUUUGACGUCCUACAUACAUGCAUGCAUGAACUUUCUUAAGGCUAGGGGAUCAAGGAAACGAUAUCAGAAGUUGAAGAAGAGAAAACUGAUUAAUCAGCUAGCCUCUUAUUCUAAACUCAAAUAAUGUUCCAUCUGAUAUCUUUUGCACGCAACAAAUUCCUGGACCCAAUUUCUUAUUAUUCACGAUUCAUGAAAGGUGCAUAUGAUUGAUGAUUUAGGCCGCUCUCUAGUGAUCUCCAUGAAUGUACGUAUCUAAUUAUCAACAAAAUAAUAUAUGCAGCAGGGAAAAUCAGGAGGCACAUCGAUCAUUCUACAUAACAGAACUUCUAGAGUUCUAGUUAGAUCGAUCGAUGGAUAAAACAUGUACGUGAGACUAUGGGCAGUAUCUUGAUGUCUCAUCUGAUCAUGGAAAAAAUGAAAUCAGGCAAGUGCAUCAAACUAUUUGAGAUGUACGUUGUCAUGCACGUCCUAAUUAGUCGAGGUAUAUAUGUGAAACGACAGAGGCGAACCCAAAAGCAUGCAUGGAUUUAGUUCCGCCGGCGGCAAACAGUGACGUACAAGGCCCUUCGAAAUUAGGUCAAAAACUAAACCUCGGCGAGUGGAUAUUCAAAUACAUAUCGUCCGGGCUAGUGACAUGACGGAAAAGCUUACAUGCAAAUCGGAUUAAUUUUGCCAGUCUCAUCCGGAACCACUAAACCAACACUAGCAGAUUGACGUACUGCUCGAGUAUUGGGACAAAAUGCCCCAACUUGAAAUCCUAGAUUCAUCACAUUCAGCUAGCUAUUCAAAAACUUAAAAGCUCUGGUUUUUCUUUGGUUGGAUCACUGGGAUGGAAGUACAGGCCCAAAUAACAAAACAGAAUAAUCACCAAUCUUCAAAACUUGUUGAAAUGGGCUCGAAUUCCAGUCGGACCAUGCUGGGUCUAACGGUCUUACUCCUCUUAAGAUUGCAUUAUAUUAGGAAUGGAUUACCUGAAUGUUCCCUUGAACCCAGACAAAUACUUUGGAUUGAGUUGGAUUACCGGGCAUGGAAAUAGAUGGAUGACUUGUCUGUAAAAGUCAUUUGGAACAACAAGUACUCACCUAAUGGUAAAAAGAAAAAUAGUUACGGUGAGGUUUCGAUAAAGUCUUUGCUGUUUUUCUUUUUCUCUCUCUAAGCAUUUUUAAAAAGUGAGGGAAAAAUGUUACAAACAUAUACAACGUAACAAAAAAAACUUAUUUGAUGAAAUGGGCUCUAGGAGUUGUAUACUCUUAGAAUGAAUGGACUCACAUAUAUUGUUGUCAUUGAAAUGGACAAUGAAGAGUUUAAAUUAGUAUAAAAUGGUCAUUUAUGUGAAGGAAAAAAAAAACAUGAAGUGAAUCAAACAAUAAAUUAAAAGGUAGAAAACAACCAAGCCGCUGAAAAUUUCUUUUCCAAUGGUAUUGCACAUCAAUCAGGAUCCCACUUACAUUCCCACAUGAGAUCAUGUACGCUUCUAUGAUCAAAUAUGUGAUUCAAACAGAAUAUUUUGACAAAGCAAAAGGAUCAAUGUCUCACCGCAUCCAUGUUGAGAGGCUGAUUUCUUACAUGUGCACCUGUACGUUGUUCCAUGUUCUUUCUCUGUCAACAAGUCUGCCCUUGUAUAUAUGUAAUGUACUAACGUAAUUAUAGUUUGUACAUCUUAAAGACAACGUAGCUAAUUCAGAUUAUGGUAUAUGAUUACUUGCAUCAUUUUAAUUUCUUUCACCUUUUACACAAAUAGGUUACUUGCAUAAUUUUAACUGAUUUCAAAACCAGAUGAAGAAUUCAUGAGUUCUCUCUAGCUUGUGCAUGUAUACUGAUUUGCAAUCAAAUGACCAUGCCUAUAUAUUUUCUUGACCAGCCAUACAUAUAGAAUCCAAACUAUUCAAGUGAAAAGAAAAAAAAGAAAUCAAACCAUGUUUUAGUAGAUUAGUAGUGCAUGUCAAAAUCACCUUUGCACAUUAACAUAUAUAGCCAAUAAAUAACUAGGGGAAUCUCAUAGGUUGGCUCUAAACAGAUGAAAACAAGAGAAAAGGGAUGAAACACAUUUAGGUAUAAAAAAGAAUCCUCAUAAAAAAUUAGAAGUUAACAAUAUUUGUAUGCAACCAGUCGUAUCAUAUCAUAUCGUAUCGUAUCAUCAGCAGUUUAAAAGGCAUGUAACCACUUGUAUAUAUACGAUCGAUGACACUAUUUGCUUUCUGGAAGAUAAGCAUUCCAUUACCCGUUGGUGCACGAUUCAAUAAGUGGGACCAUUCAUAUAUCUUUCAUUUUUUUUUUCUUUUUUUCUGAGAAUGUCAUAUAUCUUUUAAUUGAGAUUUCCCUUUAUCUUUCAUAUCUAAAUCACGAACAGCCGGUCAGAUUUCAGAAAUCCAAGUUCUUCUUUAUCAUUCUAUAGUUGGACUUGUAGAAUCGACUAUGAAGUGUUGAAGGGUAGUUUAAUUUAAUAUAUGCAUGCAUGUAGUGAGUGAUCGAAAAUUGCAGUUUGCAUUUAUGAGAAUGUGAAGAUUCAUAAAUUGACAAGAUUCAUAGAAUGUGAAAAUUGCAGUUUGCACCCCGAUCCACCUAAGAAUCCAUCGGGGAAAGAACCAAAUUCAGCCUCAUGGAUUUAGAAAAAACAAUGUUUUUGUGAAGAUAUUGUGAUCGACCUUCAAUCGAUUGGUCUAUUAGUUGUUGCUUAAUUGACUAGCUUGUAGCUAAUAUUUGGAAUUUAGGGUUUACUCAAGGAUAAUGUAAGUUUAAAAACUUCCGCUUCUAAAUACAUCACGAGUGGCGUACUGGUCUAGCAUUAAUAAGAGAAACCCUAAACUCAAGUUUGAUUCACGAAGCUGUCAGAAUGGUCAGACACUAUGUUGCAGAUCUGAAAUACAUAGUUGUACCAUUUCACAUGUGCCGAGAGAUUACAUCCACUAUAGGAAAUCGCCUCUUAGCCGACAGAAAAUAAUAAAUCCAUCGGCUAAGUACGUAUUCGCCAACGGAAACACCAACCGUCGUCUAAGACUCCACAGCCGUCGCCUAAGAUCUAUUUACGCGAUGGAAAUUGACUGUCGAGGACGUCCGUCGACUGAGACAUGUCUACCCGACGAAAUAGGAUUUGUCGUCUAAGCUCCGUCGACUUACUAACUCCCAGGCGACGAAAUAUGUUCGUCGGCAAUAUUUCGUCGGCUUAGUAAGUCUUACGCGACGAAAACUGAUUGUCGACGACCUCCGUCGCCUAAGAUCUUCCUAAUCGACGAAAUUGGCUCGUCGUCUAAGUUCAGACGAUUUAGAUACUCCUAGACGGCGAAAUAGUUCCGUCGGUAUAGUUAGUCUUGGGCGAUGAACCUGUGUCCGUCUGGUAAGUUGAUCCUGGGGGACGAACCUUUUGUCGUCAGCUAAGUAAGUCUUGGGUGAUGAAUAUGUCUUACUUAGCCGACGACCUGUUCCGUCGACUAAGAAAUGCCUUUAUUUCCUGACAUAACACAGAACGAAUAUAUUUCCUAGCCGACAGAUUUUGUCUUAGGCGACGGAAGGUUUUGUCGGUUAAGUGAAACACAUCAUUUACUCAACCUCUGCCUAGAAGAGAACAAAUUUGAAGACUUUGAAACCGAGUCAUCCAAACCGAGUUUUGGAAACUUUUCUUCAAGAUUUUGAUCGAUCUUCGAAAGCUGCUUCUCUCCUAAUUGGUAUGUAACUUUAAUUCAUCUACUUUCUUAAUUUAGUCAUAUUUUCCAGUGAACUUUCUGGCGACUUUGUCGGUCUAAUUUUGAUGGAAUGUUGCUUACUUCUGAGGAUAAUAUAAUUACUGGAUUGCUUGAUGCAUGAUAUAUGUAACUUUUGUGUGUAUAUAUGUUGAAAUAAUUACAAAAUUUUUAGAGUGUAUAUAUAUAUAUAAUAUAUAUAGAUAUAUACAGUCUGUUUCUGGUGCCGACGUCAGUACAGGUUUUCCCUACGGAUUUCCGCCGUUUCUCCACCAUUCCAGCGCCGGCGACGCCGUUUUCUUCUCCCCAGCGUGAUCCCAGACCUCCCCUGACGGUGUUGGAAUGAAGAAGAAGGCCGGAGAGAUCGCGAUCAGAGGUCUGUGCAGCAAUCUCACACAGAACUUCACAACAGAUCAUGGUGGACCUCCGAUCGCAAUCUCUCCUGCCUUUUUCUUCAUUCUAACACCGUCGGGGAGGUCUGAGAUCAAGCCGAGGAGAAGAAACAGCGUCGUCGGUGCUGGAAUGGUGGAGAAACGACGGAAAUCCGUAUNNN
RNAcentral lists this long non-coding RNA (10125 nucleotides) under Fragaria vesca (wild strawberry). RNAcentral's name for it is "long non-coding RNA (FVES_LNC002345)". Lineage: Eukaryota; Viridiplantae; Streptophyta; Magnoliopsida; Rosales; Rosaceae. The record is from RNAcentral.